AUACAGGUGGUGCAUGGUUGUCGUCAGUUCGUGUCGUGAGAUGUUUGGUUAAGUUCAGCAACGAACCUUACCCUUGUCCUUAGUUGCCAGCAUUAAGUUGGGGACUCUAAGGAGACUGCUAGUGUAAGCUAGAGGAAGGUGGGGACGACGUCAAAUCAUCAUGCCCCUUAUGACUUGGGCUACACACGUGCUACAAUGGCUGAUACAAAGAGUCGCUAAACCGCGAGGUCAAGCAAAUCUCAAAAAGUCAGUCUCAGUCCGGAUUGAAGUCUGCAACUCGACUUCAUGAAGUCGGAAUCGCUAGUAAUCGCGAAUCAGCAAUGUCGCGGUGAAUACGUUCUCGGGUCUUGUACACACCGC
Molecule: ribosomal RNA, 360 nt
Filed under: uncultured Spiroplasma sp.
Lineage: Bacteria; Bacillati; Mycoplasmatota; Mollicutes; Entomoplasmatales; Spiroplasmataceae
Description: bacterial SSU rRNA
Rfam family: Bacterial small subunit ribosomal RNA
Source: RNAcentral